Molecule: long non-coding RNA, 2781 nt
Organism: Bombus impatiens (common eastern bumble bee)
Lineage: Eukaryota; Metazoa; Arthropoda; Insecta; Hymenoptera; Apidae
Exons: 2
Source: RefSeq, a predicted model, not a curated record
AGAACUGAAGCUUGUGUUUAAAAAACAAAAAGGGGAUAAAAGAAAUAGUAAGAGUUUCCCCGCGUUUCAUUUCUAUAAUCAUCGCUUCAAACGAGCCGCCAUGCCAUCGCUAAUUGAAACGCACGGAUCUGUUUUUCUCGAAGAUGCGACACGACGCAACGCGAUGCAACGCGACGGAAGCGGUGGUCCCUACCUAUUAAUAUCGAGAGUAUAUUUCAAUUAAUUCGAAUAAAUCGGUAAGCGACACGGCGCGAGUGUGCGUGCGCGUGCGUGGAAAGGCGGCAGAAAGAAAAAAAGAUGACCGCCGUGGCGCUUGCGCGAGGGGCGUCGCGACGACCGCCGACGCCUUCUUGAAUGAAACCGUCGCAGUCAGUUCGCAUCAAGGCGUCCACCUUCGCUUCCACUUUCACGGAUUUUCUAAUUGUCCAGUCGACCAACGGCAAGUGACAUUCCACGGUGAUAAGUCGUUCGAUCAUGUUUCAUCUUGGCCAGCGAAACAGGUCGGCGGUUAUGCGAACAUUGUCGAUUUGGGCAGUGGCUUGUCGUUCUCGUGGAUAUCUCGGGGACAGAUUCUACUUGUUGUCCAUGCAGAGAAGGACGGGCAAGAUCCUCGUCUGACAGAGACCGAUGCUUGGUGCAAAGCUUUUGCUUCUUUCUUGUGUUGCUUGUCACUCACUCUCGCUUUACCCAUUUGUAUUCCUCUUCGUUGUAAAUUAUCCGCUACCACUGUAUUUCCGCGUAGAGGACAGUCGUUAAAAUGGCUAGGAUCGAGUUACCGAGGAAAGAAAAGAAAAAGAAAAUUGAACGGAUGUCGUUAAAGACAUGAGUGGUCUAUUUGAAAUUUCGAAAAAGCAACGAGAAAUUCUUGAAGAUUGUGCAAACGCGAUCGUUAAACGGCCACGUGUUUGGCAUGAGGACCUUCUGGCAUGGAAUCGCGUGCCAUGUGCAAUUUACAGCUACUAAAAUUAGACGUUUCAUCCCUCUGCUCGUAUGGGGUGGUCAAAGUGAUUUUCGAUACGCCAUUGGUCACGGUUAUGGCUAAACUACUCGUUUCAGGGUUCACAGGGUGUAAAUAAAUGUCGAAAUAGUAGCGGAAGAUUUUUCUUCGUUGUAUGUAAUAUAAUGAUAUUUCUUUGAUAAUUUAUGUUAAUUACUAUAUUUUCAAGCAGUUUCUUGGCUAAUGAGAGUCUUGACUUAUGGAGUUUUGCCAUUAGAUAAAGAAACAAUUUGUCCAAAAAUGGACAGAUUAAAUAGUUGACAUUGCAAUUUUUUUUUAUAAUGACGCUUUAUAUGUACUUUGGAUAAUUUAUGUUAAUUAGAUUAGAUAUCACAAAGCAUUAUCAAAUUUCAGAUUGUCUAUAUGAUUUGAAUUUUAGUUUGGGCCUUAGAGAGAUCCGAAACAUAUUGCUUUGUAAUAACAUUAUUUGCAUCAAUCGAUAAUCAGCAAUAUACAUUAUGUAUUAUAAAAUUCUUAAUUAAAGUUAAGGUUAUUUCUUCUAUUCAUAAACAAAGGAGCAACUUGUUCAGAAACGAAUCGUCAAUGAAUUAAACAUUUUCUUUUAAUUAUCUUUUGAGCGACUUCCUAAGUAAUUUGAUAUUUCUUUAAAUAGAUCAAAUAUCUAAACUCGAAAAGUUGAUUGCUUCUACUCGAGUAGUUACGAUCCUAAUUCGACCAGUGAAGAGAAGCUUCGAAGUUAUUUGUUCGCUCAUUCCACUUACAACUGUAAUUUCUUUCUUUUAUUCUCACAGCCGAGAGACCGAUUAUAUUCAACCCCUUUUCGCUAUUGUCUACGCGCGUCUAACGUCUCACAGUCUGAGUCCAUAAAGAAGAUCGUAAAGAUGUCGAAUACGGUAUGCGGACAUUUAUGAGCCUCAUGAGAAGAAAAUUUCAUUGCAAGAGCAGCGUUUUGGAAGUUGAAGGACCGAAAGAAACGAAACUAGCCCAGUUUUCAUCGUUCAGCGUUUAACUCUGACCUGCGCAAUGAAUCUCGUUGAUUCCUAUUAAUUUAUUAUUUUGCUGUUUUACAAGAUUAUGAAUAGGAAUGGAAUCAUAUAUAUAGCGUAAGUAAGUUUUCGUUUGAUUUUAAUAUCCAGGACAUCUCGUGAGGUAUUCGAAAAAAGAAUAUCUUUAAGUAGAGUUAAACUUAAACAAGAUUUGGUUGGUUAGACUACUUUAUAAGUAUUUUGAGAAAUAUAAAUGGUACUUUUUUCAAGGAUAAUUAGAAAUUGACCAAGUAGAUUUGGUCUGUACUUUAAUCGGAAAAGCGAUCUACUAUAUAAUACCUGACUUUCCGUUUGUUGCAUCAGGUUCAGAAGAAAUUAUUGGAGUAUUGGAAUUUACAUAAAAAUAAAAAUUAACGUUAAAUUACAUUAAAUUUCACGAAAUGAGAUUUUUCUAUAGAAAUUGACUUAGAUUUACAAAUGCGUACUGAAUUUGAUAUCCUUACCAACAACAUAUCGUGCAUUGUGUGUCCAUCAUUAAGACAGAAAACAAAGGACAAGAGUUCAUGGUUUGCGUGAUAAUUGAAGCUCGUUUCCUUCAUUUUUUUUUUUUCUUUUUUCAACGUGCCCAUAUAUAAACCUUGACAAAUAAGAGCAGCUGCAGAUAUUUGUCUUUCCCCAGUACUACGCGAAACUAUAAUUCGUGACAAACAUCACGGUCCACUUACUAUAAUCUGAAAACCCAACAAUUCCUCCUCUACCUCGAGUAGAAAAUAUAAUAAAUGUAUACAGUAAAAGAAAAUAAGUAUAAAAUGUAUAGAAUGGAUACAGGAGUAUACA